AGCUUUGCGCAGUGGCAGUAUAGUAGCCAAUGAGGUUUAUCUAAGACAUGAUUACUGCUAAUUAAAAAAAAUUAAAAAAGCUUUUUCAAUUCCUAAAUGACCUCUAAGUAAAAUGCUGAUAACUAUCAUAAUCACCAUAG
This 140-nucleotide small nuclear RNA is filed under the name Fukomys damarensis (Damara mole-rat). Its description in RNAcentral is "U4 spliceosomal RNA". The stretch from base 1 to 109 matches the Rfam family "U4 spliceosomal RNA". Rfam says of the family: U4 small nuclear RNA (U4 snRNA) is a component of the major U2-dependent spliceosome. The structure of U4 snRNA from yeast and human has been reported. U4 snRNA presents a k-turn RNA motif in the 5p-SL related to recognition of Snu13 protein. The record is from Rfam by way of RNAcentral. Lineage: Eukaryota; Metazoa; Chordata; Mammalia; Rodentia; Bathyergidae.